Molecule: ribosomal RNA, 406 nt
Filed under: uncultured bacterium
Lineage: Bacteria
Description: partial 16S ribosomal RNA
Rfam family: Bacterial small subunit ribosomal RNA
Source: RNAcentral
AUUGAACGCUGGCGGCAGGCCUAACACAUGCAAGUCGAACGAGUGGCGGACGGGUGAGUAAUGUCUGGGAAACUGCCCGAUGGAGGGGGAUAACUACUGGAAACUGUCGCUAAUACCGCAUACCAUCGGAUGUGCCCAGCUGGGAUUAGCUAGUUGGUGGGGUAACGGCUUACCUAGGCGACGAUCCCUAGCUGGUCUGAGAGGAUGACCAGCAACACUGGAACUGAGACACGGCCCAGACUCCUACGGGAGGCAGCAGUGGGGAAUAUUGCACAAUGGGCGCAAGCCUGAGACAGCCAUGCCGCGUGUAUGAAGAAGGCCUUCGGGUUGUAAAGUACUUUCAGCGGGGAGGCGUUACACGCAGAAGAAGCACCGGCUAACUCCGUGCCAGCAGCCGCGGUAAUAC